RNAcentral lists this ribosomal RNA (1537 nucleotides) under metagenome. Its description in RNAcentral is "bacterial SSU rRNA". It matches the Rfam family "Bacterial small subunit ribosomal RNA". The record is from RNAcentral.
AGAGUUUGAUCCUGGCUCAGAACGAACGCUGGCGGCGUGGAUUAGGCAUGCAAGUCGAACGAGAAUUUAUAGAAUCAAGUCUUCGGAUAAGAUGAUAUAAAGGACAGUGGCGGAAGGGUGAGUAACGCGUGGGCAAUUUGCCCUGAAGUUGGGAAUAACCUCUCGAAAGGGGGGAUAAUACCGAAUAUGGUCACCUCGGGCAUCCGAGGUUGUCUAAAGGUGGGGAACCGCAAGGACCUAUCGCUUCGGGAUGAGCCCGCGUCCCAUCAGCUAGUUGGUGAGGUAAUGGCACACCAAGGCUUACGGGUAGCUGGUCUGAGAGGAUGGUCAGCCACACUGGGACUGAGAACUGCCCAGACUCCUACGGGAGGCUGCAGUCGAGGAUCAUUCGCAAUGCGCGAAAGCGUGACGAUGCGACGCCGCGUGCAGGAUGAAGGCCUUCGGGUUGUAAACUGCUGUCAUGGGGGAUCAAGGGUUACAACUAUAAUACAGUUGUGAAGUGAUAGUACCCCAGGAGGAAGCCACGGCUAACUCUGUGCCAGCAGCCGCGGUAAUACAGAGGUGGCAAGCGUUGUUCGGAUUUACUGGGCGUAAAGGGUGCGUAGGCGGUUUUGUGUGUCGAUUGUGAAAGCUCACCGAUCAUCGGUGGAAUUGCAAUCGAAACUACAGAGCUAGAGUACAGGAGGGGAGAGCGGAAUUCUUGGUGUAGCGGUGAAAUGCGUAGAUAUCAAGAGGAACACCGUUGGCGAAGGCGGCUCUCUGGAAUGAUACUGACGCUGAGGCACGAAAGCUGGGGGAGCAAACAGGAUUAGAUACCCUGGUAGUCCCAGCCCUAAACGGUGUGCACUUGGUGUGGUUGGGUUUGUCCCUAACCGUGUCGGAGCUAACGCGUUAAGUGCACCGCCUGGGGAGUACGGUCGCAAGGCUAAAACUCAAAGGAAUUGACGGGGGCCCGCACAAGCGGUGGAGCAUGUGGCUUAAUUCGAUGCAACGCGAAGAACCUUACCAGGGCUUGACAUGUAACUGCAAGCCCCGCGAAAGCGGGGUGCCUUCGAGGGUGUUACACAGGUGCUGCAUGGCUGUCGUCAGCUCGUGCCGUGAGGUGUUGGGUUAAGUCCCGCAACGAGCGCAACCCUUGUGACUAUUUGCUAGCUUGAUAGCAAAAUCAAAAGCACUCUAGUCAGACUGCCUGUGAUAAACAGGAGGAAGGUGGGGAUGACGUCAAGUCAGUAUGGUCCUUAUGUCCUGGGCUGCACACGUGCUACAAUGGACAGUACAAUGGGAUGCGUAGCCGCGAGGUGGAGCAAAUCCUCAAAACUGUCCUCAGUUCGGAUUGAAGUCUGCAACUCGACUUCAUGAAGCCGGAAUCGCUAGUAAAGGCGUAUCAGCUACGACGCCUUGAAUACGUUCUCGGGCCUUGUACACACCGCCCGUCACAUCAUGAAAGCCGAUUGCACCCGAAGUCGCUGAUCUAACUCGCAAGAGGGGAAGGCGCCCAAGGUGUGGUUGGUGAUUGGGAUGAAGUCGGAACAAGGUA